UGGUUUCAUUCACUGAAAUCAUGGAAAGGAUGCAGUGCUAUUGUUAUCAUCCUUGGGUACCUAAUGACAUCAAACUGCGAUUGCGGAUUGGGAAUAUGUGUAUAAGCUUAUGAGACGUACGGCAUGGGGUUGGAGGCGUCACGGCGUCGGAUCCGAGAAAGGAGUGCGAUGGUGUCUACACUUUACAGUAGAAAACAUGAGUCGGUCGCUCGAGCUCGAUGACGACGACUACUGUUUCUCCCUCUUCGCUGCAGAGAGAGAGAGAGAGAGAGAUUGGGGACCAAGUGGUGGUCGUCGGAUUGGGUGAUCGGUGGGGGAGACGUCGCCAUCGACGGAGAAGGGGGGAAGGGAGCUUUUGUUGGGGCUUUGGGCAACCAUGCAUGAGCUGCGGUCUGGCGUGCGGCAUCUCGUUGACAAAUGACAGUCGACAUCUCCGGUGAACUGCUGCUGUCACCCCC
RNAcentral lists this long non-coding RNA (458 nucleotides) under Musa acuminata (dwarf banana). Its description in RNAcentral is "long non-coding RNA (MACU_LNC009582)". The record is from RNAcentral. Lineage: Eukaryota; Viridiplantae; Streptophyta; Magnoliopsida; Zingiberales; Musaceae.